CCAAGUACUGCGGGACACGAGAAACCCCGUGGGAAUCAGGGGGGACCACCCCCCAAGGCUAAAUACUCUUAGCGACCGAUAGUGAACAAGUACCGUGAGGGAAAGGUGAAAAGCACCCCGGGAGGGGAGUGAAAUAGAACCUGAAACCGUGUGCCUACAAGCUGUCGAAGGGCGUUAAAAGCCUGACGGCGUACUUUUUGUAGAACGGACCGGCGAGUUACAUCUAACGUGCAGGUUAAGGCAGGAAAGCCGGAGCCGAAGCGAAAGCAAGUCUUAAUAGGGCGCAAUGUACGUUGGAGUAGACCCGAAACCUGGUGAUCUACCCAUGUCCAGAGUGAAGCUUUAGUAAAAUAAAGUGGAGGCUCGAACCGACCUUCGUUGAAAAGGAGGCGGAUGAGGUGUGGGUAGGGGUGAAAUGCCAAUCGAACCAGGAGAUAGCUGGUUCUCCCCGAAAUAGCUUUAGGGCUAGCCUCGGUGAGAGAUUAGCGGAGGUAGAGCACUGAAUGGGCUAGGGGCCUUCACGGGUUACCGAACCCAAUCAAACUCCGAAUGCCGCAUAAUUAUAACCGGGAGUCAGACUGCGGGUGCUAAGAUUCGUAGUCAAAAGGGAAACAGCCCAGACCAACAGCUAAGGUCCCAAAGACAGGCUAAGUGGAAAAGGAUGUGGGGUUGCACAGACAACCAGGAUGUUGGCUUAGAAGCAGCCACCAUUUAAAGAGUGCGUAAUAGCUCACUGGUCAAGUGGCCCUGCGCCGAAAAUGAAACGGGGCUAAGCCUGGCACCGAAGCUUUGGAAUGAUGAAUGUCAUUGGUAGGGGAGCGUUCUUAACGAGUAGAAGCGGUACCGUGAGGAGCCGUGGAUUGUUAAGAAGUGAGAAUGCCGGUAUGAGUAAGCGAAAAGGCAGGUGAGAAUCCUGCCCG
This 920-nucleotide ribosomal RNA is filed under the name Desulforamulus aquiferis. Its description in RNAcentral is "partial 23S ribosomal RNA". It matches the Rfam family "Bacterial large subunit ribosomal RNA", at positions 408 to 1336 of the family's 2925-position model. The record is from RNAcentral. Lineage: Bacteria; Bacillati; Bacillota; Clostridia; Eubacteriales; Peptococcaceae.